UCAAGUAAUUAAGUGCAUGUGGUGGAUGCCUUGGCAGUCAGAGGCGAUGAAAGACGUGAUAGCCUGCGAAAAGCUCCGGGGAGGCGGCAAAUAUCCUUUGAUCCGGAGAUGUCUGAAUGGGGGAACCCACCUACUUUAAGGUAGGUAUUGCAACAUGAAUACAUAGUGUUGCAAGGCGAACGAGGGGAAGUGAAACAUCUCAGUACCCUUAGGAAAAGAAAUCAAUUGAGAUUCCCUCAGUAGCGGCGAGCGAACGGGGAUCAGCCCAUUAAGUUAUGUGUGUUUUAGUGGAACGCUCUGGGAAGUGCGAACGUAGAGGGUGAUAUUCCCGUACACGAAAGGGCACACAUAAUGAUGACGAGUAGGGCGAGGCACGUGAAACCUUGUCUGAAUAUGGGGGGACCAUCCUCCAAGGCUAAAUACUCCUGACUGACCGAUAGUGAACCAGUACCGUGAGGGAAAGGCGAAAAGAACCCCUGUGAGGGGAGUGAAAUAGAUCCUGAAACCGCAUGCAUACAAGCAGUGGGAGCACCUUCGUGGUGUGACUGCGUACCUUUUGUAUAAUGGGUCAGCGACUUAUAUUCAGUAGCGAGGUUAACCGUAUAGGGGAGCCGUAGAGAAAUCGAGUCUUAAUAGGGCGUUUAGUUGCUGGGUAUAGACCCGAAACCAGGCGAUCUAUCCAUGAGCAGGUUGAAGGUUGGGUAACACUAACUGGAGGACCGAACCCACUGUCGUUGAAAAGCCAGGGGAUGACUUGUGGAUAGGGGUGAAAGGCUAAUCAAGCCUGGUGAUAGCUGGUUCUCCCCGAAAGCUAUUUAGGUAGCGCCUCGGACGAAUACCAUAGGGGGUAGAGCACUGUUUCGGCUAGGGGGUCAUCCCGACUUACCAAACCGAUGCAAACUCCGAAUACCUAUGAGUACUAUCCGGGAGACAGACUGCGGGUGCUAACGUCCGUAGUCAAGAGGAAAACAAUCCAGACCGCCAGCUAAGGCCCCAAAAUCAUAGUUAAGUGGGAAACGAUGUGGGAAGGCAUAGACAGCUAGGAGGUUGGCUUAGAAGCAGCCACCCUUUAAAGAAAGCGUAAUAGCUCACUAGUCGAGUCGGCCUGCGCGGAAGAUGUAACGGGGCUAAAACUAUGUGCCGAAGCUGCGGAUGUAUACUUUGUAUACGUGGUAGGGGAGCGUUCUGUAAGCCGAUGAAGGUGUGUUGAGAAGCAUGCUGGAGGUAUCAGAAGUGCGAAUGCUGACGUGAGUAACGACAAAACGGGUGAAAAACCCGUUCGCCGAAAGACCAAGGGUUCCAGUCCAACGUUAAUCGGGGCUGGGUGAGUCGACCCCUAAGGCGAGGCCGAAAGGCGUAGUCGAUGGGAAAAUGGUUAAUAUUCCAUUACUUCUGUGUAAUGCGAUGAGAGGACGGAGAAGGCUAAAUCAGCCUGGCGUUGGUUGUCCAGGUGAAAGGAUGUAGGCAUGUAUCUUAGGCAAAUCCGGGGUGCUCUAUGCUGAGAUCUGAUAGCAAGCUGUACUUGUACAGCGAAGUGGUUGAUGCCAUGCUUCCAGGAAAAGUCUCUAAGCUUCAGUUACACAGGAAUCGUACCCGAAACCGACACAGGUGGUCAGGUCGAGUAGACCAAGGCGCUUGAGAGAACUCUGCUGAAGGAACUAGGCAAAAUGGUACCGUAACUUCGGGAGAAGGUACGCUGUUGUUGGUGAUGGAACUCGCUUCCUGAGCUGACGACAGCCGCAGAAACCAGGCCGCUGCAACUGUUUAUUAAAAACAUAGCACUCUGCAAACACGAAAGUGGACGUAUAGGGUGUGAUGCCUGCCCGGUGCUGGAAGGUUAAUUGAUGGGGUUAGCGUAAGCGAAGCUCUUGAUCGAAGCCCCAGUAAACGGCGGCCGUAACUAUAACGGUCCUAAGGUAGCGAAAUUCCUUGUCGGGUAAGUUCCGACCUGCACGAAUGGCAUAAUGAUGGCGGCGCUGUCUCCAGCAGAGGCUCAGUGAAAUCGAAAUCGCUGUGAAGAUGCAGUGUACCCGCGGCUAGACGGAAAGACCCCGUGAACCUUUACUGCAGCUUGACACUGAACUUUGACCUUACUUGUGUAGGAUAGGUGGGAGGCUUUGAAGCUGGAACGCUAGUUCCAGUGGAGCCGUCCUUGAAAUACCACCCUGGUAAUGUUGAGGUUCUAACUCUGUCCCGUGAUCCGGGACGAGGACCGUGUCUGGUGGGUAGUUUGACUGGGGCGGUCUCCUCCUAAAGAGUAACGGAGGAGUACGAAGGUGCGCUCAGCGUGGUCGGAAAUCACGCGUAGAGUAUAAAGGCAAAAGCGCGCUUAACUGCGAGACCCACAAGUCGAGCAGGUACGAAAGUAGGUCUUAGUGAUCCGGUGGUUCUGUAUGGAAGGGCCAUCGCUCAACGGAUAAAAGGUACUCUGGGGAUAACAGGCUGAUACCGCCCAAGAGUUCAUAUCGACGGCGGUGUUUGGCACCUCGAUGUCGGCUCAUCUCAUCCUGGGGCUGAAGCAGGUCCCAAGGGUAUGGCUGUUCGCCAUUUAAAGAGGUACGCGAGCUGGGUUUAGAACGUCGUGAGACAGUUCGGUCCCUAUCUACCGUGGGCGCUGGAAAUUUGAGAGGAUCUGCUCCUAGUACGAGAGGACCAGAGUGGACGAACCUCUGGUGUACCGGUUGUGACGCCAGUCGCAUCGCCGGGUAGCUAUGUUCGGAAGGGAUAACCGCUGAAAGCAUCUAAGCGGGAAGCCUACCUCAAGAUAAGAUUUCCCUAGGACUUUAUGUCCUCUAAAGAGCCGUUCGAGACUAGGACGUUGAUAGGUUGGAUGUGGAAGCAUAGUGAUAUGUGAAGCUGACCAAUACUAAUUGCUCGUGAGGCUUGACUAU
RNAcentral lists this ribosomal RNA (2891 nucleotides) under Acinetobacter baumannii. RNAcentral describes it as "bacterial LSU rRNA". It matches the Rfam family "Bacterial large subunit ribosomal RNA". The record is from RNAcentral. RNAcentral also lists the same sequence under 1 other name. Lineage: Bacteria; Pseudomonadati; Pseudomonadota; Gammaproteobacteria; Moraxellales; Moraxellaceae.